Molecule: ribosomal RNA, 2900 nt
Filed under: Klebsiella pneumoniae
Lineage: Bacteria; Pseudomonadati; Pseudomonadota; Gammaproteobacteria; Enterobacterales; Enterobacteriaceae
Description: bacterial LSU rRNA
Rfam family: Bacterial large subunit ribosomal RNA
Source: RNAcentral
UUAAGCGACUAAGCGUACACGGUGGAUGCCCUGGCAGUCAGAGGCGAUGAAGGACGUGCUAAUCUGCGAAAAGCGUCGGUAAGGUGAUAUGAACCGUUAUAACCGGCGAUGUCCGAAUGGGGAAACCCAGUGCAAUUCGUUGCACUAUCGUUAACUGAAUACAUAGGUUAACGAGGCGAACCGGGGGAACUGAAACAUCUAAGUACCCCGAGGAAAAGAAAUCAACCGAGAUUCCCCCAGUAGCGGCGAGCGAACGGGGAGCAGCCCAGAGUCUGAAUCAGCUUGUGUGUUAGUGGAACGGUCUGGAAAGUCCGACGGUACAGGGUGAUAGUCCCGUACACCAAAAUGCACAGGCUGUGAACUCGAAGAGUAGGGCGGGACACGUGGUAUCCUGUCUGAAUAUGGGGGGACCAUCCUCCAAGGCUAAAUACUCCUGACUGACCGAUAGUGAACCAGUACCGUGAGGGAAAGGCGAAAAGAACCCCGGCGAGGGGAGUGAAAAAGAACCUGAAACCGUGUACGUACAAGCAGUGGGAGCACCUUCGGGUGUGACUGCGUACCUUUUGUAUAAUGGGUCAGCGACUUAUAUUCUGUAGCAAGGUUAACCGUAUAGGGGAGCCGCAGGGAAACCGAGUCUUAACUGGGCGUUAAGUUGCAGGGUAUAGACCCGAAACCCGGUGAUCUAGCCAUGGGCAGGUUGAAGGUUGGGUAACACUAACUGGAGGACCGAACCGACUAAUGUUGAAAAAUUAGCGGAUGACUUGUGGCUGGGGGUGAAAGGCCAAUCAAACCGGGAGAUAGCUGGUUCUCCCCGAAAGCUAUUUAGGUAGCGCCUCGUGAAUUCAUCUUCGGGGGUAGAGCACUGUUUCGGCUAGGGGGUCAUCCCGACUUACCAACCCGAUGCAAACUACGAAUACCGAAGAAUGUUAUCACGGGAGACACACGGCGGGUGCUAACGUCCGUCGUGAAGAGGGAAACAACCCAGACCGCCAGCUAAGGUCCCAAAGUCAUGGUUAAGUGGGAAACGAUGUGGGAAGGCACAGACAGCCAGGAUGUUGGCUUAGAAGCAGCCAUCAUUUAAAGAAAGCGUAAUAGCUCACUGGUCGAGUCGGCCUGCGCGGAAGAUGUAACGGGGCUAAACCAUGCACCGAAGCUGCGGCAGCGACACUAUGUGUUGUUGGGUAGGGGAGCGUUCUGUAAGCCUGCGAAGGUGACCUGUGAGGGUUGCUGGAGGUAUCAGAAGUGCGAAUGCUGACAUAAGUAACGAUAAAGCGGGUGAAAAGCCCGCUCGCCGGAAGACCAAGGGUUCCUGUCCAACGUUAAUCGGGGCAGGGUGAGUCGACCCCUAAGGCGAGGCCGAAAGGCGUAGUCGAUGGGAAACAGGUUAAUAUUCCUGUACUUGGUGUUACUGCGAAGGGGGGACGGAGAAGGCUAUGUUAGCCGGGCGACGGUUGUCCCGGUUUAAGCAUGUAGGCUGAUUGUCCAGGCAAAUCCGGAUAAUCAAGGCUGAGGUGUGAUGACGAGGCACUACGGUGCUGAAGUAACAAAUGCCCUGCUUCCAGGAAAAGCCUCUAAGCAUCAGGUAACAUCAAAUCGUACCCCAAACCGACACAGGUGGUCAGGUAGAGAAUACCAAGGCGCUUGAGAGAACUCGGGUGAAGGAACUAGGCAAAAUGGUGCCGUAACUUCGGGAGAAGGCACGCUGGUGUGUAGGUGAAGUCCCUGCGGAUGGAGCUGAGACCAGUCGAAGAUACCAGCUGGCUGCAACUGUUUAUUAAAAACACAGCACUGUGCAAACACGAAAGUGGACGUAUACGGUGUGACGCCUGCCCGGUGCCGGAAGGUUAAUUGAUGGGGUUAUCCGUAAGGAGAAGCUCUUGAUCGAAGCCCCGGUAAACGGCGGCCGUAACUAUAACGGUCCUAAGGUAGCGAAAUUCCUUGUCGGGUAAGUUCCGACCUGCACGAAUGGCGUAAUGAUGGCCAGGCUGUCUCCACCCGAGACUCAGUGAAAUUGAACUCGCUGUGAAGAUGCAGUGUACCCGCGGCAAGACGGAAAGACCCCGUGAACCUUUACUAUAGCUUGACACUGAACAUUGAGCCUUGAUGUGUAGGAUAGGUGGGAGGCUUUGAAGCGUGGACGCCAGUCUGCGUGGAGCCAACCUUGAAAUACCACCCUUUAAUGUUUGAUGUUCUAACGUUGGCCCCUUACCGGGGUUGCGGACAGUGUCUGGUGGGUAGUUUGACUGGGGCGGUCUCCUCCCAAAGCGUAACGGAGGAGCACGAAGGUUAGCUAAUCCUGGUCGGACAUCAGGAGGUUAGUGCAAUGGCAUAAGCUAGCUUGACUGCGAGCGUGACGGCGCGAGCAGGUGCGAAAGCAGGUCAUAGUGAUCCGGUGGUUCUGAAUGGAAGGGCCAUCGCUCAACGGAUAAAAGGUACUCCGGGGAUAACAGGCUGAUACCGCCCAAGAGUUCAUAUCGACGGCGGUGUUUGGCACCUCGAUGUCGGCUCAUCACAUCCUGGGGCUGAAGUAGGUCCCAAGGGUAUGGCUGUUCGCCAUUUAAAGUGGUACGCGAGCUGGGUUUAGAACGUCGUGAGACAGUUCGGUCCCUAUCUGCCGUGGGCGCUGGAGAAUUGAGGGGGGCUGCUCCUAGUACGAGAGGACCGGAGUGGACGCAUCACUGGUGUUCGGGUUGUCAUGCCAAUGGCACUGCCCGGUAGCUAAAUGCGGAAGAGAUAAGUGCUGAAAGCAUCUAAGCACGAAACUUGCCCCGAGAUGAGUUCUCCCUGAGACUUUAAGUCUCCUGAAGGAACGUUAAAGACGAUGACGUUGAUAGGCCGGGUGUGUAAGCGCAGCGAUGCGUUGAGCUAACCGGUACUAAUGAACCGUGAGGCUUAACCUU